UACGGAGGUGCGAGCGUUAUCCGGAAUUACUGGCGUAAGGUGCGUAGGCGGUUUAUCAAGUCAGGGUGGAAGGCGUACGGCUCAACCGUAGUGAGCCUCUGAAACUGGUGAACUUGAGUGUAGGAGAGGAAAGUGGAAUUCCCAGUGUAGCGGUGAAAUGCGUAGAUAUUGGGAGGAACACCAGUGGCGAAGGCGACUUUCUGGACUACAACUGACGCUGAGGCACGAAAGCGUGGGGAGCAAACAGGAUUAGAUACCCGGUAGU
RNAcentral lists this ribosomal RNA (265 nucleotides) under uncultured bacterium. Its description in RNAcentral is "partial 16S ribosomal RNA". It matches the Rfam family "Bacterial small subunit ribosomal RNA", at positions 524 to 794 of the family's 1533-position model. The record is from RNAcentral.